GAUGAACGCUAGCGGGAGGCCUAACACAUGCAAGCCGAGCGGUAUUUGUCUUUCGGGACAGAGAGAGCGGCGUACGGGUGCGGAACACGUGUGCAACCUGCCUUUAUCUGGGGGAUAGCCUUUCGAAAGGAAGAUUAAUACCCCAUAAUAUAAUGAAUGGCAUCAUUUAUUAUUGAAAACUCCGGUGGAUAGAGAUGGGCACGCGCAAGAUUAGAUAGUUGGUGAGGUAACGGCUCACCAAGUCGAUGAUCUUUAGGGGGCCUGAGAGGGUGCUCCCCCACACUGGUACUGAGACACGGACCAGACUCCUACGGGAGGCAGCAGUGAGGAAUAUUGGACAAUGGGUUAGCGCCUGAUCCAGCCAUCCCGCGUGAAGGACGACGGCCCUAUGGGUUGUAAACUUCUUUUGCACAGGGAUAAACCUACUCUCGUGAGAGUAGCUGAAGGUACUGUACGAAUAAGCACCGGCUAACUCCGUGCCAGCCGCCGCCGUAA
Molecule: ribosomal RNA, 495 nt
Filed under: uncultured bacterium
Lineage: Bacteria
Description: partial 16S ribosomal RNA
Rfam family: Bacterial small subunit ribosomal RNA
Source: RNAcentral